CUGGAGGAAUACCGGUGGCGAAGGCGGCCCCCUGGACGAAGACUGACGCUCAGGUGCGAAAGCGUGGGGGCAAACAGGAUUAGAUACCCUGGUAGUCCACGCCGUAAACGAUGUCGACUUGGAGGUUGUGCCCUUGAGGCGUGGCUUCCGGAGUAACGCGUUAAGUCGACCGCCUGGGGAGUACGGCCGCAAGGUUAAAACUCAAAUGAAUUGACGGGGGCCCGCACAAGCGGUGGAGCAUGUGGUUUAAUUCGAUGCAACGCGAAGAACCUUACCUGGUCUUGACAUCCACAGAACUUUCCAGAGAUGGAUUGGUGCUUCGGGAACUGUGAG
Molecule: ribosomal RNA, 333 nt
Filed under: uncultured bacterium
Lineage: Bacteria
Description: bacterial SSU rRNA
Rfam family: Bacterial small subunit ribosomal RNA
Source: RNAcentral